AUGAUGCUGACCCCAGACAGCGUGAGGAGAUCCUUCAGCAGGAUCAAUGCACACAAAGCUCCGGGUCCUGACAACAUUCCUUGGCGUGUACUGAGAGACUGUGCAGCGGAACUUACUGAUGUCUUCACAGACAUUUUCAACAUCCUGCUUAGUCAGGCUGUUGUUCCCACAUGCUUCAAAGCUACCACCAUCAUUCCAGUCCUGAAGAAGCCGUCUCUAUCCUGCUUCAAUGACUACCGUCCAGUUGCACUUACUCCUAUACUCAUGAAGUGCUUUGAAGGGCUAGUCAUGCACCAUAUCAAGUCUGCCCUCCCUCCCUGGACCCCUUCCAGUUUGCAUAUUGGUCCAAUCGCUCGACCGAUGACGCCAUCGCAACUGCCCUCCACUCAACACUCAUACAUAAGGACAAAAAGGACUCAUACGUCAGAAUGCGUCAGAAUGCUGUUCAUAGACUUCAGUUCAGCAUUCAACACAAUCAUACCUCAACAGCUCAUUUACAAACUGGUCCAGCUGGGACUCAACACUUCGCUGUGCAACUGGAUGUUGGACUUUCUGACUGGAAGACCUCAGGCAGUACGGGUCAGCAGCAACACAUCCAGCACCAUCACACUGAACACUGGAGCCCCCCAAGGAUGUGUGCUGAGCCCCCUCCUCUUCACUCUGCUGACCCACGACUGCACACUGUCAAACAACUCCAACCUCUUUAUUAAGUUUGCGGAUGACACGACUGUGGUGGGUCUCAUUAGCAACAGAGACGAGACAAACUACAGGAGCGAGGUGAGCCACCUGGCCGGGUGGUGCAGUGACAACAAUCUCUCUCUGAACGUGGAGAAGACGAAGGAGAUAGUUGUUGACUUCAGGAGAGUGCACACUCAGCAUCCUCCUCUGAGCACCAAUGGUGUGACUGUGGAGAGAGUGAGCAGCACCAAGUUCCUGGGUGGGCACAUCACAGAGGACCUCUCCUGGACUGAAAACACAGCAGCACUGGCCAAGAAAGCACAGUAG
This is a long non-coding RNA of Cyprinus carpio (common carp), 1005 nucleotides long. The record is from Ensembl. NCBI's taxonomy places the organism in Eukaryota, Metazoa, Chordata, Actinopteri, Cypriniformes, Cyprinidae.